Molecule: long non-coding RNA, 2041 nt
Filed under: Citrus x clementina
Lineage: Eukaryota; Viridiplantae; Streptophyta; Magnoliopsida; Sapindales; Rutaceae
Description: Citrus clementina (C. clementina) long non-coding RNA (CCLE_LNC003472)
Source: RNAcentral
UUCAAUUUAAUUUGUCCAAAUUUUCAAUUUUUUAAUGGCAUUAUAAUUGUUGUUGAACAUAAAUAGACACAUGAAAUCCAACUUUAACCGAAAUUUUUUUUGUUACUUUGGUUUCGAAUUUUUUAGCAAUUCCGAAAUUUUUAUUUAAAAUCUUUCAUUACUGUUUUUUAACAGACUCAAAGUUUGUACUAGUAUAAAAUUUAAUAAGAAUAUAUAAAGGAAAAUUUUAGAGGAAAUUAAAUAUUUUAGUAUGAAAUUUAAGAUCGUAGCAGGAAAGAGGAGACAAUUUCGAGAGAAACUUAUCGUAGGAUCACGUUAAAUAAACUUUUUUAAAGCUUUAACAAAUAUUUAUAUAUUGUUUUAUAAUUAUAAUAGAUAACUUAGUAUGUUCGUAUGCGGUAAUAUGGAGUAACAAUUUGUAACUGGAUUAAUUUUCAUUUUGAGCAUUAUUUUUAUUUCUCGUAAAUUGAUUCACAGAAUUAACCAACAAUCCAAAAUAUAAAAGUGAUGAACAAGGAAAUAUAUUUUCAAUAGACGAUAGUUUGUAGAUUGGAAUUGAAAGAAUGGACCAGAGAGCAGAGAAGAAAAAGAUUGAAAAUAAUAAUAAAAAGCGAAGUGCAUCAAGAUAUAAUAGGGUUUUGUUUUGGAAUAUUGAGGAGUUUAUCCCGUUUAUGGAGUAAUUUUCUCAACAAAGUACUAAAAUUAAAAAUUCUGUGUAUGGUGGGUAUUAUUAAAUAUUUGUUGGCGUAAAAUGUAAUAUGAUUUGCUUAAAGCAAUGGAUUGCAUGCAUGAAUUGUGUUACCAGCUAUUUAACGUGUGUUUUGCUGAUUGGUAGCUCCGGCAUUGCGUAUAACGCCAUUGUUGAUUAAUUUGAAAAACGAAACAAUGAAAAGCGAGAGCUACUCAACUCAAUUUGCAAUCGGAUCAAAUUAAACAAAACAAGUGAAAGUAAGUAAAUGGGGCUUCUGCCAGUGGAGUGGAAGUUUACUUAUAAGGAGAAAGGUUAACUUGUUGGAGAAGUAUAAGAAUAUAUUGUUGAUAAAGAUACUUUUAUUAAUUUUUAUGAAUAGACCCAAUGAUAAAGCCAACUCUUUGUACAGGAACAGAUACCUUUGAAUGCCGAUUCGACCACUUAAUAAAUGAUAAUUGUUAGCUAGCUAAUGGUUCACGAUUGAGUCUUCGUCAAUGCCUUUCUAUUCCGUCGUAAUUCUACACAACUUUGGGAAAAGAAAAGCUAAAAAGAAAGCACGAUAGCCAAAACACAUUACUCAACUGUGCAUUUGGUAUUUAUUUGGUAUUUGUUUAUCUAAUAAAUUGUUAGGAAAGCCUCGAUUACUUAAUGCACUUGUAAUUAUUAAAAAAUUAUUAAUUAAGGGAAUAUUAAUUAAUCAAAUUAAUUUUAGCAUGUUGGCCCCAAGUAUUAAUUUAUUGAGAUUAUUGUAUGAGUAUAUUAGGCAGUUAAUAUUGAGUUCUAAGUAAAAUUUUAUCAAGUUAAAGUCAUAUUAAAAUCGAGUGAAUUUUUUCGUCUAAUGGCUUGGGAUAAACAGGUUAAAACUUAAAUAGUCUCUUAUCAACGAUAGAUUUUGAUUUUGUUCUUUUGCCCUUCAUCAAGUCCGUUGUUUGGGAUACUUCUGGGGAACGCGGUAAAUAGUAUUGAUGUGAUCGAUUUUAAAGUUCGAGUUUUAAUUGGUUCACACGAUGUGUCAACAUUAUUGUACCACUUCUUCCUUCUUCCCGAAGAAGGAAUUAACUUUGCAUAAUUGGAAGAGACGGAGAAAAAGUAGCUAGUGUUUUUAAUUGGUUCACAUGAUGUGUCAACAUUAUUGUAUCACUUCUUCUUUCUUUCCGAAGAAGGAAUUAACUUUGCAAAAUUGAAAGAGAGAGAGAAAACGUAGCUAGUGGUUUUAAUUACUUUGAGAAGAGUGAAAGACUUUGCAUUAUCAUACGACAACCCUAAAAAUAAGAAUCCAAUCCGUUUAUACUUGAGUAAAAUCUGUAUAGAUUAGUCCUAUAACUUUAACUUAUAUAAGUUAUUUAUUUA